Molecule: ribosomal RNA, 41 nt
Filed under: Fusarium oxysporum
Lineage: Eukaryota; Fungi; Ascomycota; Sordariomycetes; Hypocreales; Nectriaceae
Also listed under: 14 other names
Description: partial 28S ribosomal RNA
Source: RNAcentral
UGACCUCGGAUCAGGUAGGAAUACCCGCUGAACUUAAGCAU